GUGUCAGCAGCCGCGGUAAUACGUAGGUGGCAAGCGUUGUCCGGAUUUAUUGGGCGUAAAGCGCGCGCAGGUGGUUUCUUAAGUCUGAUGUGAAAGCCCACGGCUUAACCGUGGAGGGUCAUUGGAAACUGGGCGUCUUGAGUGCAGAAGAGGAAAGUGGAAUUCCAAGUGUAGCGGUGAAAUGCGUAGAGAUUUGGAGGAACACCAGUGGCGAAGGCGACUUUCUGGACUGCAACUGACGCUGAGGCGCGAAAGCAUGGGGAGCAAACAGGAUUAGAUACCCUGGUAGUCCAUGCCGUAAACGAUGAGUACUAAGUGUUAGAGGGUUUGCGCCCCUUAGUGCUGCAGUUAACACAUUAAGCACUCCGCCUGGGAAGUACGACCGCAAGAUUAAAACUCAAAGGAAUUGGCGG
This 413-nucleotide ribosomal RNA is filed under the name uncultured bacterium. Its description in RNAcentral is "bacterial SSU rRNA". It matches the Rfam family "Bacterial small subunit ribosomal RNA", at positions 505 to 916 of the family's 1533-position model. The record is from RNAcentral.